RNAcentral lists this ribosomal RNA (441 nucleotides) under uncultured bacterium. Its description in RNAcentral is "bacterial SSU rRNA". It matches the Rfam family "Bacterial small subunit ribosomal RNA", at positions 340 to 773 of the family's 1533-position model. The record is from RNAcentral.
UACGGGAGGCAGCAGUGGGGAAUAUUGCACAAUGGGCGCAAGCCUGAUGCAGCCAUGCCGCGUGUAUGAAAAAGGCCUUCGGGUUGUAAAGUACUUUCAGUCGUGAGGAAGGUGUUAAGGUUAAUAACCUUAGCAAUUGACGUUAGCGACAGAAGAAGCACCGGCUAACUCCGUGCCAGCAGCCGCGGUAAUACGGAGGGUGCGAGCGUUAAUCGGAAUUACUGGGCGUAAAGGGCACGCAGGCGGUUAAUUAAGUUGGAUGUGAAAUCCCCGGGCUUAACCUGGGAAUGGCAUUCAAGACUGGUUAGCUAGAGUCUUGUAGAGGGGGUUAGAAUUCCAUGUGUAGCGGUGAAAUGCGUAGAGAUGUGGAGGAAUACCGGUGGCGAAGGCGGCCCCUGGGACAAAGGCUGACGCUCAUGUGCGAAAGCGUGGGGAGCAAAC